Molecule: ribosomal RNA, 253 nt
Filed under: uncultured bacterium
Lineage: Bacteria
Description: partial 16S ribosomal RNA
Rfam family: Bacterial small subunit ribosomal RNA
Source: RNAcentral
UACAGAGGGGGCAAGCGUUGUUCGGAAUUACUGGGCGUAAAGGGCGCGUAGGCGGCCUCUUAAGUCGAACGUGAAAUCCCCGGGCUCAACCCGGGAACUGCGUCCGAUACUGGGCGGCUUGAAUCCGGGAGAGGGAUGUGGAAUUCCAGGUGUAGCGGUGAAAUGCGUAGAUAUCUGGAGGAACACCGGUGGCGAAGGCGGCAUCCUGGACCGGUAUUGACGCUGAGGCGCGAAAGCCAGGGGAGCAAACGGG